GAUGAACGCUGGCGGCGUGCCUAAUACAUGCAAGUCGAGCGAACAGACGAGGAGCUUGCUCCUCUGACGUUAUCGGCGGACGGGUGAUGAACACGUGGAUAACCUACCUAUAAGACUGGGAUAACUUCGGGAAACCGGAGCUAAUACCGGAUAAUAUAUUGAACCGCAUGGUUCAAUAGUUAAAGACGGUUUUGCUGUCACUUAUAGAUGGAUCCGCGCCGCAUUAGCUAGUUGGUAAGGUAACGGCUUACCAAGGCAACGAUGCGUAGCCGACCUGAGAGGGUGAUCGGCCACACUGGAACUGAGACACGGUCCAGACUCCUACGGUAGGCAGCAGUAGGGAAUCUUCCGCAAAGGGCGAAAGCUUGACGGAGCAACGCCGCGUGAGUGAUGAAGGUCUUCGGAUCGUAAAACUCUGUUAUUAGGGAAGAACAAAUGUGUAAGUAACUAUGCACGUAUUGACGGUACCUAAUCAGAAAGCCACGGCUAACUCCGUG
Molecule: ribosomal RNA, 497 nt
Filed under: uncultured bacterium
Lineage: Bacteria
Description: partial 16S ribosomal RNA
Rfam family: Bacterial small subunit ribosomal RNA
Source: RNAcentral